This 817-nucleotide long non-coding RNA is filed under the name Rattus norvegicus (Norway rat). RNAcentral's name for it is "long non-coding RNA NONRATT004501". The record is from RNAcentral. Lineage: Eukaryota; Metazoa; Chordata; Mammalia; Rodentia; Muridae.
GAGGGGGUAAGAGGCUGGUGAGCAUUCUCGCGAUACUUGAACGUAUCGCGGCGGCCAGAAGAAGGAGAGGUUUGUAAACAGGUAGCUCCAAGAUCUCAGGGACUAAGGGAAAAAAAUUAGAUCGUUUGCUGAGCACCGGAGCUCCCUUCAUCUCCGCAGGCACGCUCUACGUGUCGAACAUUUCUUUCAACCGGCCUUUUUGGACCGGAAGUCCUCCGUCCUGAGCGUCCAAUACUGGAAGCGGCCUUUCUUACCGGAAAUCCUUUUCCAGGGGCAUAGGAAGAAGGCCUACCUGGCCGGAAGUCCCACCUCCUUGAGAUUUCUCCCACCCAGAAGUUAUUUUUUGUUACCUGUUUGCCUUCGUUCCUAUUCUGUUCUACUUCUGUACCAGAGAAAGAUACAUUGUCUCCCUUUCCACCUCCACUAAGCUGGUUUGAUAGCUCACUUCCCGAAUCGGAGUUCCUUCCCCGACGCCCCCAUGUAGCUGAGAAGUGGGACCUAGGGGUGGUUGGACCCCUGGGAUCCUGAAGGAGAGGCAGAGAAGGCGCAGGACUUGGCUUCUGCUCCUGCUAUCAGGACGCGACCUUCCCAGCUUUACCCCUCCUGCUGCCAUGCACCCUGCGGCCUUCCCGCUCCCUGUUGUUGUGGCUACUGUGCUGUGGGGAGCAGCCCCUAUCCGAGGGCUUAUUCGAGCGGUGAGUCUGAGGGUCGGAUGGGGAAAGGGUGUUGAGAAUGGGUUUCAGACUGGAAAAUGUACUGUUUUAUCUGCAGACUUCGGAGCACAAUGCCAGCAUGGACUUUGCAGACCUUCCAGCUC